Aquila chrysaetos chrysaetos is the source of this 2033-nucleotide long non-coding RNA. RefSeq lists it as uncharacterized. The transcript has 3 exons. The record is from RefSeq and is a predicted model, not a curated record. Lineage: Eukaryota; Metazoa; Chordata; Aves; Accipitriformes; Accipitridae.
CAUCAUGGAUUAGGGCGGAAGCGCCGGGCUGUGAGGGGCCGUGAGGGGCCGCGGCCUGGGCCUGGGCCUGGGGGCCGCCCCCCCCCUCGCCCGCGUUAUUCUUCCCCCCUAGGUGGGAACUAGAGAGGUCUCUGGGGAGCUGAGUCGCUUCACGCUGAAUGGCGGUGUGCUUUGGGCCCUGCUGCGCGAGAAAGCCCGUCGGCUCUUGACCCUCACCAUGGCAGUGAGGAGGCCUGGAGGAGAGGGGCAGAGGCAAGCUGUACGCAGAGGGUCAGGUUACGCUGACAUUUUGAGAGAAACAGCUUCCCUGCUGCUGCAGUACUAGCUUCAUGACCAUGUUGCCUGUAUCCUCAGCCACGCUGACCACUCAGACCAUCUUGCACUGGAGCACUGCUGUUUGCACUUGGGGGAUGCCAGGUCCUUACUCAACUCCUCUGAGCCCAUCUUGCCUCUCCCGUUUUCCCAUGUGACUGUGAUGGUUCUGGACAGCGUGAGACUCCUGGCUGUUUGAGUGUGGGCUUUUUUUGGUCUGUGUUUACUUGGAAAGGUCUUGAAAGGUGCUGGGUAAAAUCUGUAAAAUUGUUGAAGGGUCUUAGGCAGUUGGUUGGGUGGACUCUCAGGGAGAUUUCAGGCUCUGACUUCUUCAACCUCCACUAAUUAUCCCGUCCUCACGUGGUGGGAGAGGGUACAGUAUACUGCCUGGUGCUCAGGAUUGUCAGUCUUUGAUUUGUGGACCCUGACAUGUUUCCUCUAGGAGCUGUGGACCAACGGAACAGGCUUAAGUUUGUAGGCAGAAUAUUCACUGGUUUGUCUUCUACACCCCUUAGAAAUACUGUGUUCUGCAGUGAUCUGUGCAUGUUUAAACUCACAUUUGCAACCCUUGUAGCUGUGAAGAAGAUUUUGCUUGAUGAGGUCUUGCUGCCAGUCAGUCUGGCAACUAAGACAGCAACGUCCAGGAACAGUUGAGGUGUGAGUUAGAUCUUCCCUGCCCUGCAGCUGGGUAUUUCUGCACAGCUGUAAUGCUCACACAGGUAGUGUAUUGAGGGUCUGAAAGGAAAGCUGUAAACUGUUACAUCCCUGUCAUACUUCGGGGGGGGGUGUUUGCUCUAGUGACUGCAGUUACAGUUUUAACUGAAGUAGGCAUCUGCUUUGAGUUGUGUGUGGAUGCGUAGCUGUGUGCUGAGCCAUCCCAGUGCUGUUUUCUCCACUGCAGAACUUCUCCCAUGGGUUUCUCCUCUCCAUCCUUUACUGGACCGGACUAAGCAGUUCUUAGCUGCCUGCUGGCUUCAAAUAGCAUCCUGCUGUGGGUAAAUCUCGAGCCCCAUGUCUUCCUGUCAUCUGUGCCUCAUUGGUUAACAGCAGAUCUCUCCAUUUCCAGCCCCACUGCCUACUGCAGGGAUCUGGCUGCUGGGGCUGGAAAGCUAGGAUUUUGUACAAGGAAGUAAGAUGAAUGACUCCAUUAAAUAAACAUCACUGCUCUGUUUAUUCUUUCAAAAGAACAGAUUACAAAAAGGAGAAGAUGCAUUUUAAAUGCAUUAAAAAUUCUGAGCAAAAUAAUGCCUUUGAAUACAAUGCUCAUGUAACAUAAAUCACAUGGCUUUUUUUCUAUCCAGGCACAUGGAAAGCAAAAACGUAUUAUUAUAUCAUUAUUUAUAUGGCACCAUAUGCUAAGUCUGGAACUUAAAGGCUUUGAAAUAAAUAAGAAAACACCAGCUGCAGAUCAGCAAUACGCUCCUUUAUUGGGAGUCACUAUGUAACUGUGGCUAUCAUUCCUGCUGUUAAGUUAAAACUUAAAUAAAUUGUCAGAGAAAUAAGAUAGCCAUUAGAGAUUCAGUGUCUGUCUCCUGGGGACGCUUUUUCUAACAGCUGUAACAAAGAUCUGCUGCUGGUUUUGUCCUAUCUGUGUAGUAACUCAUUGUAUUUGUCCCUGCAGUAUCACACAGUUGUUCAGUAGAGAUGGUUGAGCUGUUCGCUAUAAAUAAUGUUGGUUAACAAUGCGGCCCCUUUUGGGUUAAUAAAUUACAAUCAAACCA